GAUGAAGAACGCAGCGAAAUGCGAUACGUAAUGUGAAUUGCAGAAUUCAGUGAAUCAUCGAGUCUUUGAACGCACAUUGCGCCCCCUGGUAUUCCGGGGGGCAUGCCUGUCCGAGCGUCAUUGCUGCCCUCAAGCCCGGCUUGUGUGUUGGGUCUCGUCCCCCUUCCCGGGGGGACGGGCCCGAAAGGCAGCGGCGGCACCGCGUCCGGUCCUCGAGCGUAUGGGGCUUUGUCACCCGCUCUGUAGGCCCGGCCGGCGCUUGCCGAUCAACCAAAACUUUUUUCCAGGUUGACCUCGGAUCAGGUAGGGAUACCAGCUGAACUUAAGCAUAUCAAUAAGCGGAGGA
RNAcentral lists this unclassified non-coding RNA (346 nucleotides) under soil metagenome. RNAcentral describes it as "partial contains 5.8S ribosomal RNA, internal transcribed spacer 2, and large subunit ribosomal RNA". The stretch from base 1 to 120 matches the Rfam family "5.8S ribosomal RNA", at positions 35 to 154 of the family's 154-position model. The record is from RNAcentral.